CGGACGGGUGAGUAAUGUCUGGGAAACUGCCUGAUGGAGGGGGAUAACUACUGGAAACGGUAGCUAAUACCGCAUAACGUCGCAAGACCAAAGAGGGGGACCUUAGGGCCUCUUGCCAUCGGAUGUGCCCAGAUGGGAUUAGCUAGUAGGUGGGGUAAAGGCUCACCUAGGCGACGAUCCCUAGCUGGUCUGAGAGGAUGACCAGCCACACUGGAACUGAGACACGGCCCAG
Molecule: ribosomal RNA, 232 nt
Filed under: uncultured bacterium
Lineage: Bacteria
Description: partial 16S ribosomal RNA
Rfam family: Bacterial small subunit ribosomal RNA
Source: RNAcentral